AUUGAACGCUGGCGGCAUGCUUUACACAUGCAAGUCGAACGGUAACAGGUUAAGCUGACGAGUGGCGAACGGGUGAGUAAUGCAUCGGAACGUGCCCGGUCGUGGGGGAUAACGCAGCGAAAGCUGCGCUAAUACCGCAUACGAUCUGAGGAUGAAAGCGGGGGACCGUAAGGCCUCGCGCGAUCGGAGCGGCCGAUGUCAGAUUAGGUAGUUGGUGGGGUAAAGGCUCACCAAGCCGACGAUCUGUAGCUGGUCUGAGAGGACGACCAGCCACACUGGGACUGAGACACGGCCCAGACUCCUACGGGAGGCAGCAGUGGGGAAUUUUGGACAAUGGGCGCAAGCCUGAUCCAGCAAUGCCGCGUGCAGGAAGAAGGCCUUCGGGUUGUAAACUGCUUUGUACGGAGCGAAAAGGCUCUCUCUAAUACAGGGGGCUCAUGACGGUACCGUAAGAGUAAGCACCGGCUAACUACGUGCCAGCAGCCGCAGUAA
This 492-nucleotide ribosomal RNA is filed under the name uncultured bacterium. RNAcentral describes it as "partial 16S ribosomal RNA". It matches the Rfam family "Bacterial small subunit ribosomal RNA", at positions 29 to 523 of the family's 1533-position model. The record is from RNAcentral.